RNAcentral lists this non-coding RNA (127 nucleotides) under Streptosporangium subroseum. The record is from RNAcentral. Lineage: Bacteria; Bacillati; Actinomycetota; Actinomycetes; Streptosporangiales; Streptosporangiaceae.
GGGAGCCGGAUGAGUCGAGAGGGUCAAGUCCGGUUCCGAGAGAGCCGGAGGGUGACGGUAAUCCGGCUCACCCGGUUGCUGCAUCGCUUGUUACCCAGCGAAGCCGAGGUCGCCGGGCUACUCGCAC